UACGGAGGGUGCGAGCGUUGUUCGGAAUCACUGGGCGUAAAGAGCGUGUAGGCGGUCCGCUAAGUCUGAUGUGAAAGCCCGGGGCUCACCCCCGGAAGGGCAUUGGAAACUGACGGACUCGAGUCCCGAAGAGGAGGGUGGAAUUCCUGGUGUAGCGGUGAAAUGCGUAGAUAUCAGGAGGAACACCGGUGGCGAAGGCGGCCCUCUGGACGGUGACUGACGCUGAGACGCGAAAGCGUGGGGAGCAAACAGG
RNAcentral lists this ribosomal RNA (253 nucleotides) under uncultured bacterium. RNAcentral describes it as "partial 16S ribosomal RNA". It matches the Rfam family "Bacterial small subunit ribosomal RNA", at positions 524 to 776 of the family's 1533-position model. The record is from RNAcentral.